GUGAGUAGUUCAGAGUUUGAUCCUGGCUCAGGAUGAACGCUAGCGGCAGGCUUAACACAUGCAAGUCGAGGGGCAGCAUGAGACGGAGAUUCGUCGAAGUCUUGAUGGCGACCGGCGCAAGGGUGCGUAACGCGUGAGCAACUUGCCCGUUUCAGGGGGAUAACCGUUGGAAACGACGACUAAUACCCCAUAGUAUCGUGAAGAGGCAUCUCUUUAUGAUUAAAGAAUUUCGGAAACGGAUAGGCUCGCGUGACAUUAGCUAGAUGGCGGGGUAACGGCCCACCAUGGCAACGAUGUCUAGGGGUUCUGAGAGGAAGGUCCCCCACACUGGAACUGAGACACGGUCCAG
Molecule: ribosomal RNA, 349 nt
Filed under: uncultured bacterium
Lineage: Bacteria
Description: bacterial SSU rRNA
Rfam family: Bacterial small subunit ribosomal RNA
Source: RNAcentral